This 253-nucleotide ribosomal RNA is filed under the name uncultured bacterium. RNAcentral describes it as "partial 16S ribosomal RNA". It matches the Rfam family "Bacterial small subunit ribosomal RNA", at positions 524 to 776 of the family's 1533-position model. The record is from RNAcentral.
UACGGAGGAUCCGAGCGUUAUCCGGAUUUAUUGGGUUUAAAGGGUGCGUAGGCGGUGCGGUAAGUCAGAUGUGAAAUCCCGGGGCUCAACCCCGGAACUGCAUCCGAUACUGCCGUGCUUGAGUAAUGGAGAGGUAGCUGGAAUUAUCGGUGUAGCAGUGAAAUGCGUAGAUAUCGAUAGGAACACUCGUGGCGAAAGCGAGCUACUGGACAUUUACUGACGCUGAGGCUCGAAGGCUAGGGGAGCGAAAGGG